CACGCAUGACACACUGCAUAUCAAUAAGCGGAGGAAAAGAAACUAACAAGGAUUCCCUUAGUAACGGCGAGUGAAGCGGGAAGAGCUCAAAUUUGAAAUCUUCAAGGUUCUACCUUGACGAAUUGUAGUUUAUAGAAGUGUUUUCUGUUAGUAGAGUGGCAAAAGUUCUUUGGAAUAGGACAUCAUAGAGGGUGAGAAUCCCGUAUUUGACCGUUACUUUCCAGCUGUGUGAUACACUUUCAAAGAGUCGGAUUGUUUGGGAAUGCAGUCCAAGAUGGGUGGUAAAUUUCACCUAAAGCUAAAUAUUGGCGAGAGACCGAUAGCGAACAAGUACCGUGAGGGAAAGAUGAAAAGAACUUUGAAAAGAGAGUUAAACAGUACGUGAAAUUGUCAAAAGGGAAGCGUUUGACACCAGUGUUGUUUAGUUGAAAAUCAAUUCAAUAAUUUUUGAUUUUGAGUAGUAUUGACUUCAUCAGCUUGCUGCUUUCUUUUCCGAAAUUAUUGAAUGCACUUUUCAGUUAACAAGUCAACAUCAAUUUCUUUUGUUGUAAAAGGGUAAGAGGAAGGUGGCUUUCUUUUCGGAGAAAGUGUUUAUAGCCUUGUGCCUCUGCAAUCGGAGAGAUUGAGGUCUGCAGCGUAGAUCCUUCGGGGUUAGAUACAGUUUGUGCUAAGUUAUAGCUUUUCAUAGACAACUUGUUGACUAUGUUUAGUCUUGUAGCUUACUCGCUGACGCUAUUUUACCUACGCUUAGGAUGUUGAUCUACAGAGCGAGAGU
This 775-nucleotide ribosomal RNA is filed under the name uncultured Neocallimastigales. Its description in RNAcentral is "partial large subunit ribosomal RNA". It matches the Rfam family "Eukaryotic large subunit ribosomal RNA", at positions 24 to 632 of the family's 3401-position model. The record is from RNAcentral. Lineage: Eukaryota; Fungi; Neocallimastigomycota; Neocallimastigomycetes; Neocallimastigales.